Molecule: ribosomal RNA, 460 nt
Filed under: uncultured bacterium
Lineage: Bacteria
Description: partial 16S ribosomal RNA
Rfam family: Bacterial small subunit ribosomal RNA
Source: RNAcentral
CCUACGGGAGGCAGCAGUGAGGAAUAUUGGUCAAUGGACGAGAGUCUGAACCAGCCAAGUAGCGUGAAGGAUGACUGCCCUAUGGGUUGUAAACUUCGUUUAUAUGGGAAUAAAAUGUUCCACGUGUGGGAUUUUGUAUGUACCAUAUGAAUAAGGAUCGGCUAACUCCGUGCCAGCAGCCGCGGUAAUACGGAGGAUCCGAGCGUUAUCCGGCUUUAUUGGGUUUAAAGGGAGCGUAGGGGGGUUGUUAAGUCAGUUGUGAAAGUUUGCGGCUCAACCGUAAAAUUGCAGUUGAAACUGGCAGUCUUGAGUACAGUAGAGGUGGGCGGAAUUCGUGGUGUAGCGGUGAAAUGCUUAGAUAUCACGAAGAACUCCGAUUGCGAAGGCAGUUCACUGGACUGCAACUGACACUGAGGCUCGAAAGUGUGGGUAUCAAACAGGAUUAGAUACCCGAGUAGUC